ACGGGUGAGUAAUGCAUGGGGAGCUGCCCAGUCGAGGGGGAUACCAGCUGGAAACGGCUGCUAAUACCGCAUACGCCCUGAGGGGGAAAGGUGGGGACCUUCGGGCCUACCGCGAUUGGAUGCACCCAUGUGGGAUUAGCUAGUUGGUGAGGUAACGGCUCACCAAGGCGACGAUCUCUAGCUGGUCUGAGAGGAUGACCAGCCACACUGGAACUGAGACACGGUCCAGACUCCUACGGGAGGCAGCAGUGGGGAAUAUUGCACAAUGGGGGAAACCCUGAUGCAGCCAUGCCGCGUGUGUGAAGAAGGCCUUCGGGUUGUAAAGCACUUUCAGUGGGGAGGAAGGGUUGAUGUCUAAUACGCAUCAACAUUGACGUUACCCACAGAAGAAGCACCGGCUAACUCCGUGCCAGCAGCCGCGGUAAUACGGAGGGUGCAAGCGUUAAUCGGAAUAACUGGGCGUAAAGCGCACGCAGGCGGUUAGAUAAGUCAGAUGUGAAAUCCCCGGGCUCAACCUGGGAACUGCAUUUGAAACUGUCUGACUAGAGUCUUGUAGAGGGGGGUAGAAUUCCAGGUGUA
This 579-nucleotide ribosomal RNA is filed under the name uncultured bacterium. Its description in RNAcentral is "bacterial SSU rRNA". It matches the Rfam family "Bacterial small subunit ribosomal RNA", at positions 102 to 677 of the family's 1533-position model. The record is from RNAcentral.